GAAUUGUAAAUAAUUAAAUCUAGAGUAGUAUUAGUUAAGAUCUUGAAACUCAAAAAAUUUGGCGGUAUUUUAGUCUAUUUAGAGGAACCUGUAGUAUAAUCGAUAAUCCACGAUGGACCUCACUUAAUUUUGUUUUUCAGUUUGUAUACCGCUGUUAUUUGAAAAUUUUAUAAGAAUAUUAAUUUUCAUAAUUUUUAAUUAAAAAAUAAAUCAGGUCAAGGUGCAGCUUAUGAUUAAGUAUUUAUGGGUUACAAUAAAUUUAUUUAUAUGAAUUAAAGCAUGAAAAUUGUUUUUUGAAAGCGGAUUUAAUAGUAAAUUUUUAAAGAUAAAAGAAUUGAUU
Molecule: ribosomal RNA, 340 nt
Filed under: Gymnopternus angustifrons
Lineage: Eukaryota; Metazoa; Arthropoda; Insecta; Diptera; Dolichopodidae
Description: partial 12S ribosomal RNA
Source: RNAcentral